This is a non-coding RNA of Pelobates cultripes (western spadefoot toad), 1344 nucleotides long. NCBI's taxonomy places the organism in Eukaryota, Metazoa, Chordata, Amphibia, Anura, Pelobatidae. The record is from the annotation of a GenBank genome assembly.
CUGAAGGAACAAACCAAACUUUAAAUAUCUGAUGUCAUAAUGCAAUGUCCCACUCAUUUAAAGGUUUGUACAGGACACUUUAUGCCAGAAUAUGGUUAUGGGGACUAGGUUAAAAAUCUUAAUGGGGUUAAACAGAGAGCAGGCAAUUAUCUUGCAAAGUUAAAGUGCCCGUCGAUCUAUAAUGAGGUAAGGAGGUCCCUAUAAUUCUGCACUGUAGCAAAAAGGCCAUUCCCCUAUUCGGAGAUGGGAGCCUGUGUUUGGUAUAUGGUAAAACGAGCAAUGAGGGAGAUUUAACAAAAAAGUGUUCUGUUCUAAAAAGUGGUGCAGAUUGUAAAAGGAGAGGAGUCGCCAAUGCAAUGUGCCCACUAGUUUCUAUGGUAAAUGCCCCACCUUUUGAGUACUUAAAGCUGCACUGUCAUGCCAUAUUUACCUUUUCCCAAUCACUUCCUGUUUCCUUCUCUCUUUUUCACUCUGUAAAGAGCUUCAGGCGGCUGCAGCACUGCUUCCUGUCAGUCCGGCCGGGUACAGGAAACAGAAACUCUGCGCAGUACAGGAUCCCUAUGCACUACACACCAUAAGCACACACAUUAGAUCCUCUACAAUAACACAUCCCCUACACACUCCACUCCCUGUGAGGAAACUCAUGGGUGGGAGGAACGUAUAAGUGGACUUAUGAGUGGGCCUUAUGGGCAUACUUACCGUCAGGCGCUGGGACCCAGACCUUGAGCUGUGUAUGGGGCCCCCAAAAAAUGGAGCUGCUUUCCAUUCUCCCAGAACAUUGAAUUUUGUGACCACAGUUGCAAACAGCCUCCAGAGAUCCUGUUCUACACCAGACCAGUGGAGCCAAACUGCAGCCCAUCGUCAUCCUCAUCUGGUUGUAAGUAGGCAAUCUAGUAUAUUAUUAGUGACACUAAUUAUAAUUUUAGCUUAAUGAAGUGGUUCUGCUGUCUCUAGCUGGUUCCUGCAGGCUUUUUAAUGUAAACACACACUGUGUCCAGCACUGGCUUUAGUUCACAUGGGGGCGGCAAAUAUUUCUUUUGCCAAGGGCGGCAAAAAUCCUUGCACCAGCUCUGAUCCUGGGCAGGUGCACCAAUCUACUGGUGACCCACAGGAGGGGAGUGCACUGAUUGCACAGCACUCUCCUCCUGCCCAGACCCGUCUUUACCGCAGCGCAAGUGCCCUCUGCCCCUAAUUUACAGUGGCUCACACUCACAGCAAGCAGUGCCUGGAACCCUUUGCAGAGACGGGAACAAAGAAGUUCUGCGGCAGCUGGCCAUCCUGCAAGCAUUACAUUAACCAGCUGUUCCCCAUGCAGCCACAGAUGGUGCUGUGCUGCGAGAAUAG